AGGAGGAGGAGUGAAGGAGGAGGAGGAGGAGGAGGAGGAGGAGGAGGAGGAGGAGGAGGAGGAGGAGGAGGAGAGGCAGUUUUCAAGAGCAAAGGGGAAUGAAAACCCAUUCUAUAUUAUUCUACAGCUAAGUAUCUUGCUACUGAAUCAGAACUAAAAUCAAAUUUCUUUUCAGGAACUUUUAGAUCAUAAAAUGGAGCCUGGUAUGGUGGUAAAUGCAGGUGACCCCAACAGUUGGGAGGCUGAGGCAGGAA
Perognathus longimembris pacificus (Pacific pocket mouse) is the source of this 254-nucleotide long non-coding RNA. RefSeq lists it as uncharacterized. Lineage: Eukaryota; Metazoa; Chordata; Mammalia; Rodentia; Heteromyidae. The transcript is spliced from 3 exons. The record is from RefSeq and is a predicted model, not a curated record.